CUUAGUGAUACUUUUACAACAGGUUUCGAAUUUGAUCUAAUCAAAUCCGGUUAUAUAGGUUCACUAGAUUGUGUUAGUUCUUCUAUCUAUUGAAUUUUUUAAGUUCUAUAUUAAAGGUAUCAGUUCCUUCACCAAGGUACUUCUUUCCUAAAAAGAAUGUCGAACAAUUUUUAUUCUUUAGUAAGGUAGAAGUUAUAUCCCCUAG
Molecule: long non-coding RNA, 205 nt
Filed under: Elaeis guineensis (African oil palm)
Lineage: Eukaryota; Viridiplantae; Streptophyta; Magnoliopsida; Arecales; Arecaceae
Description: long non-coding RNA (EGUI_LNC060439)
Source: RNAcentral